Non-coding RNA from Lolium perenne, 1166 nucleotides. The record is from RefSeq and is a predicted model, not a curated record. NCBI's taxonomy places the organism in Eukaryota, Viridiplantae, Streptophyta, Magnoliopsida, Poales, Poaceae.
AGAUGCGUGGGCUCGUGGAAAUCUACAAUAAUUUGGACAACUAUUCUAUGCGUCUGUUGUAGCUCCAUAGUCUGCUAUGAAUUUGUUAUGUUGAUCUUCAGGGAAGGAGAAGCCUGGACACUCUUCAUAUUAUAGUGAGGAUUCUGAGGUGUGCUUUUCUUUUAUUGCCUUCUAAAUACUUUAGCAUCCACAAAUAAAUUGGCUCACCUUAUUAUGAAAUGACCAAUAUUUACUGAAUAUAUCCGGUUUGUAUCAUUGAAAUCUGAUUUCUAUCGCCAUGGCUGCGUUUAUCAUAAUUAUAUCCUAAGGAUGGUUCCUACAAGGCUCAUUGCCAUUAUGGUUCGUAUAUACAAACAGAGACUAAGAUAGCUAAAGUUGUAGUUCAAAUUACCACUUAUUUCAUUUAACUAUUAUAAUGUAUAUUGUCCUUUCUCAUUGCCAUUGAAAUUUUCCAUCCCCAUUGAAAAUUUCCAUUCCAAAUCUCCACUAAACUGAAGUUUUCUUGAGAAAAAGGUGGUCAUAUCUGUUAUUUUCUGAUUGCUUCAGCAGUUGCGAGGGCAAAUUGUUGGCAUGUUAUUUUCCAAAUUCAAUUAUAGAAUUGCUUGUGAGCUGUGACAAGUGAACCUUUUUUGAAGUGCAUAAACUUUUACUCUCCAUACCAGGUUACAACAGUGAUUAAUAACCUUAUCAUCCGUAAACUUUAUUGCCAUCACCAUGGCACGAUGAUCAUAAGUGGGAAUAUAGACAAUAUUCAUGCAAGGUCAGGUUGAAACAUCAGUCUCUUUUCUUGGAUGCAAUCCUCUCCAGGUUGAAGGAUUUGUUGAGGAUAGUGAUGGUAAUAAGGUUUCUACCCUGACUAGAAAGUGGGACGAGAGCAUGUACUAGCCUAUUACUGAUGAUAAAUCUGAAGCCUCUCUGUUCUGGGAGAAAAAAAAACUUCCGGCUAACACCACAAGAUACAGCCUGUCAUCAUUUGCAAUAACUCCAAAUGAGUUGACGCCAAAACUCAAGCUCACGGCUUGAUUCAGAGGUAGAUAGAUCCAUGCCCUUGAAAUGCCUCUCCUAUAUUGUGUGGCCAGUUCUCAAGUUUAUUUGAAUUACCACAGUGAACCUUCAAGUUUAAACCUUUCACCCACCUUUAAUUGAUAUGAUGCUAAAUUACUACU